RNAcentral lists this ribosomal RNA (2866 nucleotides) under Xanthomonas arboricola pv. juglandis. Its description in RNAcentral is "bacterial LSU rRNA". It matches the Rfam family "Bacterial large subunit ribosomal RNA". Lineage: Bacteria; Pseudomonadati; Pseudomonadota; Gammaproteobacteria; Lysobacterales; Lysobacteraceae. The record is from RNAcentral.
AGCGCACACGGUGGAUGCCUAGGCGGUCAGAGGCGAUGAAGGACGUGGUAGCCUGCGAAAAGUGUCGGGGAGCUGGCAACAAGCUUUGAUCCGGCAAUAUCCGAAUGGGGAAACCCACUGCUUCGGCAGUAUCCUGCAGUGAAUUCAUAGCUGCUGGAAGCGAACCCGGUGAACUGAAAUAUCUAAGUAACCGGAGGAAAAGAAAUCAACCGAGAUUCCCUAAGUAGUGACGAGCGAACGGGGAGCAGCCCUUAAGCUGGAAUGGCUUUAGAAAAACAAUCUGGAAAGAUUGGCCAUAGAAGGUGAUAGCCCUGUAUUUAAAAGGGCCACUCCAGUGAAGACGAGUAGGGCGGGGCACGUGAAACCCUGUCUGAAUAUGGGGGGACCAUCCUCCAAGGCUAAAUACUCCUGACCGACCGAUAGUGAACCAGUACCGUGAGGGAAAGGCGAAAAGAACCCCGGAGAGGGGAGUGAAAUAGAUCCUGAAACCGUGUGCGUACAAGCAGUAGGAGCUCGCAAGAGUGACUGCGUACCUUUUGUAUAAUGGGUCAGCGACUUACUGUUCGUGGCAAGCUUAACCGUAUAGGGGAGGCGAAGGGAAACCGAGUCUGAUAAGGGCGCAUAGUCGCGGGCAGUAGACCCGAAACCGGGUGAUCUAGUCAUGGCCAGGGUGAAGGUGCCGUAACAGGUACUGGAGGCCCGAACCCACGUCUGUUGCAAAAGACGGGGAUGAGCUGUGAUUAGGAGUGAAAAGCUAAUCGAACCCGGAGAUAGCUGGUUCUCCUCGAAAGCUAUUUAGGUAGCGCCUCGGACGAAUACUACUGGGGGUAGAGCACUGUUAUGGCUAGGGGGUCAUCGCGACUUACCAAACCAUUGCAAACUCCGAAUACCAGUACGUACUAUCCGGGAGACACACGGCGGGUGCUAACGUCCGUCGUGAAAAGGGAAACAACCCAGACCCACAGCUAAGGUCCCAAAUUCACUGCUAAGUGGAAAACGAUGUGGAAAGGCAUAGACAGCCAGGAGGUUGGCUUAGAAGCAGCCACCCUUUAAAGAAAGCGUAAUAGCUCACUGGUCGAGUCGGUCUGCGCGGAAGAUUUAACGGGGCUAAGCAGUGAACCGAAGCUUGGGGUGCAUAAAACUUGUUUUAUGCGCGGUAGAGGAGCGUUCCGUAAGCCUGCGAAGGUGGAUUGAGAAGUCUGCUGGAGGUAUCGGAAGUGCGAAUGCUGACAUGAGUAACGAUAAUGCGGGUGAAAAGCCCGCACGCCGAAAGCCCAAGGUUUCCUUGCGCAACGUUAAUCGACGCAGGGUUAGUCGGUCCCUAAGGCGAGGGCGAAAGCCGUAGUCGAUGGGAAGCAGGUUAAUAUUCCUGCACCUCGCGUGAGUGCGAUGGAGGGACGGAGAAGGUUAGGUGUACCGGGCGUUGGUUGUCCCGGGGAAAGGCGGUAGGUUUGGAUCUUUGGCAAAUCCGGGAUCCUUUAAGACCGAGCACCGAGACGAGCCUUUAUGGCGAAGUCACUGAUACCACGCUUCCAGGAAAAGCUCCUAAGCUUCAGCUCACGAAGACCGUACCGUAAACCGACACAGGUGGGUAGGAUGAGAAUUCUCAGGCGCUUGAGAGAACUCGGGUGAAGGAACUAGGCAACAUGGCACCGUAACUUCGGGAGAAGGUGCACCCUUUUUGGUGGCUCAUGCGAGCUAUAGCUGAAGAGGGUCGCAGAAACCAGGCCGCUGCGACUGUUUAUCAAAAACACAGCACUCUGCAAACACGAAAGUGGACGUAUAGGGUGUGACGCCUGCCCGGUGCUGGAAGGUUAAUUGAUGGGGUCAGCCGCAAGGCGAAGCUCUUGAUCGAAGCCCCAGUAAACGGCGGCCGUAACUAUAACGGUCCUAAGGUAGCGAAAUUCCUUGUCGGGUAAGUUCCGACCUGCACGAAUGGCGUAACGACAGCGGCGCUGUCUCCACCCGAGACUCAGUGAAAUUGAAAUCGCUGUGAAGAUGCAGCGUUCCCGUGGCAAGACGGAAAGACCCCGUGAACCUUUACUAUAGCUUUACACUGAACGUUGAGUUCGUCUGUGUAGGAUAGGUGGGAGGCUAUGAAACUGUGGCGCUAGCUGCAGUGGAGCCAUCCUUGAAAUACCACCCUGUCGUGCUUGACGUUCUAACCUAGAUCCGUUAUCCGGAUCAGGGACCGUGUAUGGUGGGUAGUUUGACUGGGGCGGUCUCCUCCUAAAGAGUAACGGAGGAGCACGAAGGUACGCUCAGCGCGGUCGGACAUCGCGCACUGUGUGCAAAGGCAUAAGCGUGCUUGACUGCAAGAUCGACGGAUCAAGCAGGUACGAAAGUAGGUCUUAGUGAUCCGGUGGUUCUGUAUGGAAGGGCCAUCGCUCAACGGAUAAAAGGUACUCCGGGGAUAACAGGCUGAUACCGCCCAAGAGUUCAUAUCGACGGCGGUGUUUGGCACCUCGAUGUCGGCUCAUCACAUCCUGGGGCUGUAGUCGGUCCCAAGGGUAUGGCUGUUCGCCAUUUAAAGUGGUACGCGAGCUGGGUUCAGAACGUCGUGAGACAGUUCGGUCCCUAUCUGCCAUGGGCGUUGGAAGUUUGAGAGGGGCUGCUCCUAGUACGAGAGGACCGGAGUGGACGAACCUCUGGUGUUCCGGUUGUCACGCCAGUGGCAUUGCCGGGUAGCUAUGUUCGGAAGCGAUAACCGCUGAAAGCAUCUAAGCGGGAAGCGCGCCUCAAGAUGAGACUUCCCGGGGCACAAGCCCCCUAAAGGAACCAUAUAGACUAUGUGGUUGAUAGGUCAGGUGUGUAAGUACAGCAAUGUAUUGAGCUAACUGAUACUAAUGAUCCGUGCGGCUUGACC